Mus musculus (house mouse) is the source of this 2735-nucleotide long non-coding RNA. RefSeq annotates it as predicted gene, 35025. The transcript has 2 exons. The record is from RefSeq and is a predicted model, not a curated record. Lineage: Eukaryota; Metazoa; Chordata; Mammalia; Rodentia; Muridae.
CUGAAGCCGUUACCGCCAUCUUUAUUGAGAACAGAAGUGCUGCCCACGGUGCUGAACGGAGCUGGGAGUUUCUCCGCUACUCUGCCACCGCCCUCCCUCUCAUCCUAGUGCGCUAUUCCAGCGUGGCUUCCUAGUCUUUCUUCAGACCGAGAAUCUCGUCUCCCUUUAGAGCGCUAGUUCCGAGCCCUAACACCCAUUUUGGUUUGAAAAUGUGCUGUCAUCGGUCUGGGAAGGGUUACCAUAUAGAAUCCUGGGACUGUGAAAAUAAUGGCCAGACACCGGCCUGGUUCAAACAAUAGCGUUAACUGUUUAUUAACAAGUUUAACUUAUGAGAAACAUGUCGCAAAAAUCUCCUUGUUUGCUCCUACAGAACAGGAUCUGAAAACGACCCUUCUGAGACAGGAAGAGAAGCCAACUCUUCUCCGCCACGAGAGUCACUAGCGGUCUCCCAGACUUGGGAGAGACACCACGUCUCUCUAGGCUAUGGUUCUUUCCAGUGUUCUGAGAUGCCACGUGGAACCCAGGGUUGUACAACUGUGGACCCAGCUUCCUCAGAUCUCCGCCCCCUCGCCUGCGACAACUGCAUCCUUUAACCCCUUGAAGAACCCGACAGAAGCUCAGUUCUCCCUAGUCCUGGUCCAGUCUAGCUUUCCGUCCAACUCCUGGCACGCGCGCAUCUCAACCAACCAAUAGCUAGAUGUGGCGCAACAGACGUCACAGAAUCCUAGAGAAAGGCGGCGCAUUCCAAUUAGAGUGUCAUUGUUUCUAUUGGCACAAUGGGAGACCCCGCCCCUCUCGGAGGACUCCAUUGUAUGCGGGAGGUAGGAGGGCCUCGCGGGUUCCACGCUAGCCAGCAGAAAUAAUCCAAAAGACGCGCUAUAUUGAUCAGCCUCCAAACUUGGCAUCGGUGAUGAGCUGCAACGCAAGGUGCAGGGGACUCAUUCAUUCUGACACCGAGACAGGAGUCAGGCCUAGGACCCCAGAACAUUGCCCUGGGUGCGGUUCCCCCGGCUGAGUGGUUACUACUUCAAACAGUCCAAGAACUCCUGGCCAAGACCUCUGGCCCGCCCCCAAAUGGUAGCUAUGACAUCACCAGCAACCAAUCAACGCAUUCUCUCGCUCCUGGGUUUCUUUGCUUCGGGGAGGUUUGGCUCACUCGGGUUGCACUGGACGAGGCUGCUGUGAUCUGACCCAUGGGUAUCAGCUGUAGUGUUUGGGGUCGUUAAGUCUUAAGACUCAAGUCAGAGUUCCGUGACAGAUACACCAUUUGUGCGUGUAGGUGGACUAUGUACAGCGGCACUAAAGAAAGUACUCCGUAGGAUUGUAGUUCCUGACUAGAGAAGAGAGGAGCGGGACCUGGUUUUGAAGCGCCCGCCGCUCUGUGGGUCCACAGACUAGCUAGUGGAAAGCGCAAAUCUCAGGUUGAACAAGGAGGAAACCAGCUGGAAUCACAGAGGAGACCCCUGAAUGACCUUAGGGAUCUGGACUUCCGGGCUGGUGACUGGCCUCCACCUUUGACGUCUCCGUGGCGUCUACUAGAGACGACAUUCGAGGCGGCUGCGGGCGUGAGACUGUCUCCCACUUUUCCCCCGUUUGUGGCUGCUGUUGGUAAGCCGUUCCCUCACCUUGUUUUCUCACAUAUCCUCACUUCUGUGUCCAACCCACAGUAGUCGCUCCCAAUGCACUUCCUGGAAAGAGAAAAAUGAGGAGCCUAAAGGAGGUUCAGCUGGUGAAGGUGCUUGGUGUCCAAGCUUGAACGCCCGAGUUUGAUCCCUGGAUCCCAUGUAAGAGUGGAAGACCGACCCCACAAAGUUGUCCUCUGACAACCAUCCACACUUUCAAAUGAAAUGCUGUUGGUUCCUCCCUCUGCUUCCAAGACCAGCUUUGUCCCUACCUCCUAGGAACAAGUAAGACCUCCAGGUGGCCUUCUCAAUAGUUCCAAUUGCAGGGUCUACGCAGGUCUCAGAGACGCAGAUUUGAUGUGAGGCAAGACCAGACAGUAGUGAUGAGAGCUUCACGGGACCUAUCUUUUCUGUUAGAAUUUCCUUGUAGAAUGUGUGCACAUUCUGCACAUCAAGGCCCUGAGCUCAAUCCCCAGCACCAUAAACAAAAGAGAGACUCUGGUCUUGAUGUGGGGUCACAGACCUUUAAUCCUAGCACCCAAGAGACAGAGACUGGUAGAUCUCUGAGUUUGGGACCAGCCUUCGCUACAUAGUAAGAUCCUGUCUCAAAACAAAACAAGCACACAUAGAAUACUGGCUGUAUCUCCUCAGCUUUUCACUGGGCUAUAACCAAACUCAAAGUAGAACAUACUAUAUCUCACAUGUGGAGCUGUUGAGGACUGCUGUGGAAAAACACAUAAUUGUGUUAAUUGGUCUCAUUUUACAUGCAUGGCCACAGCGUUAGUAUGUUAGAGGACCUAGGCAAUCAGUGUGGUAGGGCAAGAAAACCAAUUGAAAAGAAUAUGGAGGUUAAGAUGGAAAAAUCGUGUCCACAGUCAAUAUGAUUGUGUAAGUAAAAAAAAAAUCCAAAGAAAGGGUGAGCACUUAGUGGAGUGCUUGCUUCUGUCUGAAGCCCUGGGGUAGAUCCUCAGCCCUGAACACACCAGCUGUAGCAGGCAGGCCUGGGAUCCUAGCACUCAGGAGGUAGAGGAAGGACGGUCAGAAGUUCAAGGUCUUCAGACACAGAGUUACCUGAGGGCCUGUUCUAAAAAUAAAAUUUAAAAAUCCAAGGGA